RNAcentral lists this ribosomal RNA (446 nucleotides) under uncultured bacterium. RNAcentral describes it as "bacterial SSU rRNA". It matches the Rfam family "Bacterial small subunit ribosomal RNA", at positions 331 to 793 of the family's 1533-position model. The record is from RNAcentral.
CCAGACUCCUACGGGAGGCAGCAGUGGGGAAUAUUGCACAAUGGGGGAAACCCUGAUGCAGCAACGCCGCGUGAGCGAGGAAGUAUUUCGGUAUGUAAAGCUCUAUCAGCAGGGAAUAGAAAAGAAGGUACCUGAAAAAGAAGCCCCGGCUAACUACGUGCCAGCAGCCGCGGUAAUACGUAGGGGGCAAGCGUUAUCCGGAUUUACUGGGUGUAAAGGGAGCGUAGACGGCCAUGCAAGCCAGGGGUGAAAGCCCGGGGCCCAACCCCGGGACUGCCCUUGGAACUGCAUGGCUGGAGUGCGGGAGGGGCAGGCGGAAUUCCUGGUGUAGCGGUGAAAUGCGUAGAUAUCAGGAGGAACACCGGCGGCGAAGGCGGCCUGCUGGACCGCGACUGACGUUGAGGCUCGAAAGCGUGGGGAGCGAACAGGAUUAGAUACCCCCGUAC